This is a long non-coding RNA of Rhipicephalus microplus (southern cattle tick), 434 nucleotides long. The record is from RefSeq and is a predicted model, not a curated record. NCBI's taxonomy places the organism in Eukaryota, Metazoa, Arthropoda, Arachnida, Ixodida, Ixodidae.
AGCCUUCCCGGACGAUUCUGCGCUCGCAGUCAUCGAGGCAUCGUCAUUGCCCUUCACUUCUGCGCACAAGUGCACCGACUCCACAGCGACCCCUGGACCCAAAGACUACUUAAGGCUCCGGAAAUCCUUCCCCGCUUUCAGUGGGCAUGGGAGCAGCCACUGCGAAAGCAUGGCUAACAUGUUGAUCUUCUUCGCCCCACAGGUGUGUACAUAUACUCCACUGCAUGCUAAAAAAAGUGACAAUCGUUUCUUAGUCGUGCUCCCAUGCCCACGUGAGCUGUGUAUUAUCUUGAAAGAAUGCUUAGAUGUGAGUUUGCUGUUGCUUUGUUCUGGCGACGUAGAAACUAACCCUGGCCCCCCUACUCUUCGCAGUUCCAGCGCAGACAUAGGUGAAGAACAAACUUCUGUACAUAGUGCCGCCAUACUUGAAUUAC